AGGACGAACGCUGGCGGCGUGCUUAACACAUGCAAGUCGAGCGGUAAGGCCUUUCGGGGUACACGAGCGGCGAACGGGUGAGUAACACGUGGGUGAUCUGCCCUGCACUUCGGGAUAAGCCUGGGAAACUGGGUCUAAUACCGGAUAUGACCUCCUAUCGCAUGGUGGGUGGUGGAAAGAUUUAUCGGUGCAGGAUGGGCCCGCGGCCUAUCAGCUUGUUGGUGGGGUAAUGGCCUACCAAGGCGACGACGGGUAGCCGACCUGAGAGGGUGACGGCCACACUGGACUGAGACACGGCCCAGACUCCUACGGGAGGCAGCAGUGGGGAAUAUUGCACAAUGGGCGAAAGCCGUGAUGCAGCGACGCCGCGUGAGGGAUGACGGCCGUUCGGGUUGUAAACCUCUUCGAGCAGGACGAAGCGACAAGUGACGUACCUGACAGAAGAACGACGAACCGGCUAACUACGGUACGACCGACGACGACGCCGACGGUAACUACCGUGUAACGGCGGUCCGU
RNAcentral lists this ribosomal RNA (516 nucleotides) under uncultured soil bacterium. RNAcentral describes it as "bacterial SSU rRNA". It matches the Rfam family "Bacterial small subunit ribosomal RNA", at positions 26 to 536 of the family's 1533-position model. The record is from RNAcentral.